GACGCCUUGAAUUAUGUUUAUGUGCAAAAUCGUUCAGGCUUUUCCUGAAUAUUGUAUCAUUUUUGAAACCGUCUUCAUUGUGUCUGUUCAUUCAUUUAUUGUCAUAUCAACACGGUCACCAGAUGGUGGAGUUUUUUUAGCGAAAAACACGAAGCGUGUGGAUAAACUACAGAAGACAGAAAGACAUGCAACCCUUUAUAUAAAGGAAUGAAUGGGGGAUGCAUGUCUAGUACAGAGUGCCCUAUGUACAAUGACGAGGGUGACAUUGAGGUCUUCAUUGUUCAAACAGAUGGUUGAUUAUCCAAAAACAAACCUUCAGUUAAUACAAACCUACAGUUAUUUUCGGGGGAAACACAGACUUCGGAUGUCAAACAGUAUCACGGAAAUAUGGCAUAUGAGGGAAGUAGCAAUAACUUAAGAAGGCAACACCAGAUCCCCUUUUUAAAUAACAUUCAGAAGGGUUUUUUUUUCUUAAGGAGAGCACACAAGAACAUUUC
Mya arenaria is the source of this 497-nucleotide long non-coding RNA. RefSeq lists it as uncharacterized. NCBI's taxonomy places the organism in Eukaryota, Metazoa, Mollusca, Bivalvia, Myida, Myidae. The record is from RefSeq and is a predicted model, not a curated record. The transcript has 3 exons.